This 428-nucleotide ribosomal RNA is filed under the name Bacillus licheniformis. RNAcentral's name for it is "bacterial LSU rRNA". It matches the Rfam family "Bacterial large subunit ribosomal RNA", at positions 2500 to 2925 of the family's 2925-position model. Lineage: Bacteria; Bacillati; Bacillota; Bacilli; Caryophanales; Bacillaceae. The record is from RNAcentral.
CCACAUCGACGGGGAGGUUUGGCACCUCGAUGUCGGCUCAUCGCAUCCUGGGGCUGUAGUCGGUCCCAAGGGUUGGGCUGUUCGCCCAUUAAAGCGGUACGCGAGCUGGGUUCAGAACGUCGUGAGACAGUUCGGUCCCUAUCCGUCGCGGGCGCAGGAAAUUUGAGAGGAGCUGUCCUUAGUACGAGAGGACCGGGAUGGACGCACCGCUGGUGUACCAGUUGUUCUGCCAAGGGCAUCGCUGGGUAGCUAUGUGCGGACGGGAUAAGUGCUGAAAGCAUCUAAGCAUGAAGCCCCCCUCAAGAUGAGAUUUCCCAUUCCUAUAAGGAAGUAAGAUCCCUGAAAGAUGAUCAGGUUGAUAGGUCUGAGGUGGAAGUGUGGCGACACAUGGAGCUGACAGAUACUAAUCGAUCGAGGACUUAACCUAA